UUGGUCAAGGUCCAUCCAGUACUGCUAUAUGCAUGUUGAAUCCUCCCAUUCUGAGGACAAAACCUUAGAGAUUGAUCUCGAUGACUGGGAUGUCAGAUUUCUGAAGGUCAACGAUGGCAUGCUAUUUGAUCUCAUUAAAGCUUCAAACUACUUGAACGUCGAGAGUCUGCUGGAUCUGGCGACCCAGAAAGUAGGAGACAUGAUGAGAUGGAAGACUCCUGAGGAAAUUCGCAUGAUGUUUAACAUUAAGGAUGAAUUUGACCCCAAAGCUUUUGAUGAUGAUUUUGAGGAUUACUUGUUGAAUGCAUGAAGGUUUGAUCUAUUUGCCAAUUGUAAUUGGACCGAAGCGCUAAAGUUGACGGAAAGAAGCUGCCACCGUUGAUUGAGACGAGAUGUUUGACUUCCACCCUGAUCGGACCGACGGCGAUGACAGGGACCGAAAGGCCAACUUCUAACAGGACUAGACCAACGGUGAUGACGGGGACAGUAUGGCCAACUUCCACCAAUACCAGACCAACGGUGAUAGCGAGAACCGAAUGACUGACUAUCAUAGGGACUGGACUAACAGCAACGACAGGGACGGGACAACUGACUUUUAUUGGGAUCGGACUGACGGCGAUGACGGGGAUCGGAUUGCCGACUUCUACCAGGAUCGGACCGAUGAUGACGAUGGGGAUUAGAUGACCGACUUCCACCAAGACCUGACUGACGGUGACAAUGGGAUCGGAUGCUCAAUUUCCACCAGGACAGGACUGACGACGACGAUGUGGACCAGACGUUUGACUUUCAUCGGCACCGAAUUGGACCGACGGUCACUAGACUGGAGGCGAUGGCAACGGAAGGCGACCAUCUGGUCGUCACUCGGUGGAAGUUGGACUUUCAAUCACCAUCAUCGCCGUCAAUUUGGUUCAAUGGAAUUCGGCCAUUCGAUGUCCGUCAUCGCUGUCGGUGUAAUAUCCUAGGAAUUUUUAGUAUAAUUAUAAUAUUGUGUUUUAAAGGUAUUUUAGUAAUUUUGGAGUAAAUAGAGCAAGAAAUAAGAUCUGGCUUGGUGGAGAUAGUGUAGCCAUUUAAUUAGGAGGUCUAAAGUUGGAACCUUAAGGAGGUUAAGAGUACAAAUUUUAUUUUUUUGCUUCAGCUCUUCCCAGAAUUACCAUUAUGCCCUUCUUUAAAUUUGAAUAUAUGUCCUCCUUUCAUUCUUCAAUUUUUCCAGAACCAUCUGUGAGUGAGAAGGCCUCAAUUUUUUGCUGAUACUUUGUCCUCCAUUGCACUUCGUCUCUUCCCUUCCAUUUCUAGUGGUCGCUGGUGAAGGUGGAGGCUCGCCAUAGUUGUGUGCACCCAAAGCUCAGUCGUGCUUUCUGUCUCUAUUUAUCUCCUUCGUUUUUGUUCAGUCCUUGUUGUUCAUGCAUGUGUUGCUGAUGGGUGUGAGAAUCAGGUCGUUGGUGUUGCAAAUGUGUGCUGUGGUCAUCCACUACUAGAAGCUCAGGUCAUGAAUCCAUGGUCUUUCAAUUUGCCAUCGAUCUCUGUAUUUUUUUUACUAUUUGUGAUGUUGAAUCUUCUUCUUUCUCCUUCAUUCUUCCUAUUCGUGAGUUAUUUAUAAGUGGAGAGCUAAUUUGAUGAUGUUGCAAGGCUGAUUUAUGGGUAAGAGGCUGAUUUAAUGCUGUUAUCUUCUUCCCCUGUUUAGUUGUGGUUUCAUUUUUUU
Prosopis cineraria is the source of this 1699-nucleotide long non-coding RNA. RefSeq lists it as uncharacterized. Lineage: Eukaryota; Viridiplantae; Streptophyta; Magnoliopsida; Fabales; Fabaceae. The transcript has 2 exons. The record is from RefSeq and is a predicted model, not a curated record.